This 254-nucleotide ribosomal RNA is filed under the name uncultured bacterium. Its description in RNAcentral is "partial 16S ribosomal RNA". It matches the Rfam family "Bacterial small subunit ribosomal RNA", at positions 524 to 777 of the family's 1533-position model. The record is from RNAcentral.
UACGAAGGGGGCUAGCGUUGCUCGGAAUCACUGGGCGUAAAGGGCGCGUAGGCGGCCAUUCAAGUCAGAGGUGAAAGCCCAGGGCUUAACCCUGGAAUUGCCUUUGAUACUGUUUGGCUUGAGACCGGAAGAGGUAAGUGGAACUGCGAGUGUAGAGGUGAAAUUCGUAGAUAUUCGGAAGAACACCAGUGGCGAAGGCGGCUCACUGGACUGGUAUUGACGCUGAGGUGCGAAAGCGUGGGGAGCAAACAGGG